RNAcentral lists this ribosomal RNA (433 nucleotides) under uncultured bacterium. Its description in RNAcentral is "partial 16S ribosomal RNA". It matches the Rfam family "Bacterial small subunit ribosomal RNA", at positions 29 to 507 of the family's 1533-position model. The record is from RNAcentral.
AACGAACGCUGGCGGCAUGCCUAACACAUGCAAGUCGAACGAGACCUUCGGGUCUAGUGGCGCACGGGUGCGUAACGCGUGGGAAUCUGCCCUUGGGUUCGGAAUAACAGUUGGAAACGACUGCUAAUACCGGAUGAUGACGUAAGUCCAAAGAUUUAUCGCCCAAGGAUGAGCCCGCGUAGGAUUAGCUAGUUGGUGAGGUAAAGGCUCACCAAGGCGACGAUCCUUAGCUGGUCUGAGAGGAUGAUCAGCCACACUGGGACUGAGACACGGCCCAGACUCCUACGGGAGGCAGCAGUGGGGAAUAUUGGACAAUGGGCGAAAGCCUGAUCCAGCAAUGCCGCGUGAGUGAUGAAGGCCUUAGGGUUGUAAAGCUCUUUUACCCGGGAUGAUAAUGACUGUACCGGGAGAAUAAGCUCCGGCUAACUCCGUG